UUGCAUGCUGGCGGCAGGCCUAACACAUGCAAGUCGAGCGGAUGAAGGGAGCUUGCUCCUGGAUUCAGCGGCGGACGGGUGAGUAAUGCCUAGGAAUCUGCCUGGUAGUGGGGGAUAACGUCCGGAAACGGGCGCUAAUACCGCAUACGUCCUGAGGGAGAAAGUGGGGGAUCUUCGGACCUCACGCUAUCAGAUGAGCCUAGGUCGGAUUAGCUAGUUGGUGGGGUAAAGGCCUACCAAGGCGACGAUCCGUAACUGGUCUGAGAGGAUGAUCAGUCACACUGGAACUGAGACACGGUCCAGACUCCUACGGGAGGCAGCAGUGGGGAAUAUUGGACAAUGGGCGAAAGCCUGAUCCAGCCAUGCCGCGUGUGUGAAGAAGGUCUUCGGAUUGUAAAGCACUUUAAGUUGGGAGGAAGGGCAGUAAGUUAAUACCUUGCUGUUUUGACGUUACCAACAGAAUAAGCACCGGCUAACUUCGUG
This 483-nucleotide ribosomal RNA is filed under the name uncultured bacterium. RNAcentral describes it as "partial 16S ribosomal RNA". It matches the Rfam family "Bacterial small subunit ribosomal RNA", at positions 30 to 507 of the family's 1533-position model. The record is from RNAcentral.